RNAcentral lists this ribosomal RNA (253 nucleotides) under uncultured bacterium. RNAcentral describes it as "partial 16S ribosomal RNA". It matches the Rfam family "Bacterial small subunit ribosomal RNA", at positions 524 to 776 of the family's 1533-position model. The record is from RNAcentral.
UACGUAGGUGGCAAGCGUUAUCCGGAAUUAUUGGGCGUAAAGAGCGCGCAGGUGGUUAAUUAAGUCUGACGUGAAAGCCCACGGCUUAACCGUGGAGGGUCAUUGGAAACUGGUUGACUUGAGUGCAGAAGAGGGAAGUGGAAUUCCAUGUGUAGCGGUGAAAUGCGUAGAGAUAUGGAGGAACACCAGUGGCGAAGGCGGCUUCCUGGUCUGCAACUGACACUGAGGCGCGAAAGCGUGGGGAGCAAACAGG